ACAGCAUAUAGAUCAGACUGGAGUUGAGACGUGUGCUUUUCCGGUAGCGCGGCGGCGCCGAAGCCGCCGUCGGUAGCUCCGCGCGCGGCCCGGGCUUGCCGUUGCCGCCGCUCUCCUUCGCGUCCGGCGCUGCGGCCGCGUCCGGCGCUGCAGCCACGUCCGGCUGCCGUCCCCCU
Molecule: long non-coding RNA, 176 nt
Organism: Octopus sinensis (East Asian common octopus)
Lineage: Eukaryota; Metazoa; Mollusca; Cephalopoda; Octopoda; Octopodidae
Exons: 3
Source: RefSeq, a predicted model, not a curated record